This 1035-nucleotide small RNA is filed under the name Rattus norvegicus (Norway rat). Its description in RNAcentral is "uncharacterized LOC102551987". Lineage: Eukaryota; Metazoa; Chordata; Mammalia; Rodentia; Muridae. The record is from RNAcentral.
GGAGGUGGGACUCUGGCAGGAAGAGAGGAUUCUGGGAAAUAGUAAGGGUAUAAAAGCGAGAUGAGCCGGGCGAGGAGGAGAUAGACCGAGGAGACGGAUAUAAGCUAGUAGGUAGGUAAACUCAGGGAGACGCUGAGGGAGACAAAAACGAAGAAGCAGUUCAUGACUGAAGGAGAGGUAACAACCUCAUGGUAGACAUAUAAUAGUUUAAACGGGUUAAAUAACUUACAAGCUAGUCAGGGGAUGAGCCAAAGCUUACGGCCCAGGCCUUUAAUAAUAACUACUUAGUCUCAGUGUCAUCAUUCUAGGAGCAGGCAAAGGGUUGGACAAAAGAACCCGGCUUAACUUACACAGUGAACAUUAUUUAUCUGGGCUCUGGGGACAGGACUGGCUAUUCCCGGGUCAGUCUGAACACUGAAACUUUAUGUCAUCUCCAUCUCCAAAUGCAGGCUUCCGCUGAUUCCUCACUGAGGACGGUCUGUUCUGAAUCUGGGGAUUGUCCGCCUACAGAGACAGACAUGACAGGCUAAUGACCCGAAGGCCUCAGACACAUGUUGCUCUUUCCGUGGGAUUUCCACCCGCACCAUCCAAAUGAGACGGUCGCAGGGAAAAGUCCUUCCUCGAUGAGAGUUUUGCUAAUUUGGCUUUUCUGAUUAAAUCUGGCCCGAGGAUUGCGGAAACACGAGGAGGAGCUGCAGUUGCUGGCGACGUAUUUAUCGUGGCCCGCAGCCACUGCAGUAGAAGCGGAGUUUCGUCUGAGGCUGUAAAGAAACGGAAAAGGCCUGAGGACUUCUGGAAGCACAGUUUGGUGAACAUCUCUGCAAAGGCCAAGUCAGCAGGAGGCAAGAGGAGGCAUGGUUCUUUUUCGGAGAAAGAAAGGGAGAGAAAAGGAGAAGAGGCAAGGAUGAAGAGGUCUUAGUGUCCCACUGCUGUGAAGAGAUGCCACUGCCAUGGCAGGCCUUAUAAAGGGAAGCAUUUAAUGGGGCUGGCUUACACUCAGAGGUUUAGUCCGUUCUCAGCAUGGCGGGAGCAUGG